CAGCAGCCACGGUAAUACGAAGGGUGCAAGCGUUAAUCGGAAUUACUGGGCGUAAAGCGUGCGUAGGCGGUUUGUUAAGUCUGUUGUGAAAUCCCCGGGCUCAACCUGGGAAUGGCAAUGGAUACUGGCAAGCUAGAGUGUGUCAGAGGAUGGUGGAAUUCCCGGUGUAGCGGUGAAAUGCGUAGAGAUCGGGAGGAACAUCAGUGGCGAAGGCGGCCAUCUGGGACAACACUGACGCUGAGGCACGAAAGCGUGGGGAGCAAACAGGAUUAGAUACCCAUGUAGUCCCUGUCUCUUAUAC
This 301-nucleotide ribosomal RNA is filed under the name uncultured bacterium. Its description in RNAcentral is "partial 16S ribosomal RNA". It matches the Rfam family "Bacterial small subunit ribosomal RNA", at positions 509 to 807 of the family's 1533-position model. The record is from RNAcentral.